GCACAUUCCCGGCGUCGUGGUUCUGCGAGCCUGAUGGCCCGGAGCUAAGAGGGAAUCCGGCGCGCCGAAUCUCCGGAAGGAAUCGGCAAAUCCGGGGCUGCCCCCGCAACUGUGAGCGGCGAGCCGACGUCCACGUCGAGUCACUGGGGUAACGAACCCUGGGAAGACCGGACGAAGGCUGAGACCCGCGAGCCAGGAGACCUGCCGCGACAUCAUAUCGUCC
RNAcentral lists this non-coding RNA (223 nucleotides) under Blastochloris viridis. Lineage: Bacteria; Pseudomonadati; Pseudomonadota; Alphaproteobacteria; Hyphomicrobiales; Blastochloridaceae. The record is from RNAcentral.